This 689-nucleotide ribosomal RNA is filed under the name fungal endophyte sp. SX17. Its description in RNAcentral is "eukaryotic LSU rRNA". The stretch from base 282 to 435 matches the Rfam family "5.8S ribosomal RNA". Lineage: Eukaryota; Fungi. The record is from RNAcentral.
AAAAAGAACAAGGUUUCCGUAGGUGAACCUGCGGAAGGAUCAUUAACGAAUAACUAUGGCGUUGGUUGUAGCUGGCUCCUCGGAGCAAUGUGCACGCCCGCCAUUUUUAUCUUUCCACCUGUGCACCGACUGUAGGUCUGGAUACCUCUCGCCUCCGGGCGGAUGCGAGGGUUGCUCGUAAGGGCUUCCCUUGAACUUCCAGGCUCUACGUCUUUUUACACACCCCAAUAGUAUGAUGCAGAAUGUAGUCAAUGGGCUUCUCAGCCUAUAAAACACUAUACAACUUUCAGCAACGGAUCUCUUGGCUCUCGCAUCGAUGAAGAACGCAGCGAAAUGCGAUAAGUAAUGUGAAUUGCAGAAUUCAGUGAAUCAUCGAAUCUUUGAACGCACCUUGCGCUCCUUGGUAUUCCGAGGAGCAUGCCUGUUUGAGUGUCAUUAAAUUCUCAACCUCACCAGUUUUCUGAACUGACUGAGGCUUGGAUGUGGGGGUUUGUGCAGGCUGCCUCACCGGCGGUCUGCUCCCCUGAAAUGCAUUAGCGAGGUUCAUGCUGGACCUCCGUCUAUUGGUGUGAUAAUUAUCUACGCCGUGGACGAGGAUACAGACUCGCUUCUAACCGUCCGCGAGGACAAUACCUUGACAAUUUGACCUCAAAUCAGGUAGGACUACCCGCUGAACUUAAGCAUAUCAA